RNAcentral lists this non-coding RNA (28 nucleotides) under Mus musculus (house mouse). The record is from RNAcentral. Lineage: Eukaryota; Metazoa; Chordata; Mammalia; Rodentia; Muridae.
UAAAGAGCUUUCCGUGCUCCUGUGGCCC